GUUUGACAUCCUGCGAAUCCCUUGGAAACUUGGGAGUGCCUUCGGGAGCGCAGUGACAGGUGGUGCAUGGCUGUCGUCAGCUCGUGUCGUGAGAUGUUGGGUUAAGUCCCGCAACGAGCGCAACCCACGUCUUUAGUUGCCAGCAUUAAGUUGGGCACUCUAGAGAGACUGCCGGUGAUAAACCGGAGGAAGGUGUGGAUGACGUCAAGUCAUCAUGCCCCUUACAUCCUGGGCUACACACGUACUACAAUGCUACGGACAAAGGGCAGCAAACUCGCGAGAGCUAGCAAAUCCCAUAAACCGUGGCUCAGUUCAGAUCGUAGGCUGCAACUCGCCUACGUGAAGGAGGAAUCGCUAGUAAUCGCAGGUCAGCAUACUGCGGUGAAUACGUUCCCGGGUCUUGUAC
RNAcentral lists this ribosomal RNA (406 nucleotides) under uncultured bacterium. Its description in RNAcentral is "bacterial SSU rRNA". It matches the Rfam family "Bacterial small subunit ribosomal RNA", at positions 979 to 1386 of the family's 1533-position model. The record is from RNAcentral.